GCCCCGGAACCGAGAAGGAAAUGAAGGUGGGGCCAAGAGACGGAAGCAGGAGAAAACUUGUUGGUACCCGAGAGCGCGGGCAUUGACUGGAACCCGAGAUACGGCGUCCACGGCACCUCGGGGCAGGGGCGCAGGCUUCGGAGACACCGUGGACUUGGGACUUAGAAGCGAGGUCCCUUCUUCCUGCUGGAUGAGCCUGGAGUGUGCUACCCGGGGCAGAGCUGGGGGGCAGGCGCCCUGGGAAAGGUGAGGACACGGUGAGGAGCUGGAAGACUGUGAACCAGACUUGGAACCUGCCAGAGCCUUGAUGCAGACGUCGCAGCCCCAGAACAAUAACUCAGCCUAGCCUAUGGUCCCGCCCACAAGAUGGCCCCUCCCAUCUCGAGUCCUGCCCAUCUCCUGGCUUCUCCAAAAAGAUGGCUCCUCCUAAUCCAUGGUUUCUCCCAGAAGAUGGCUUCUCCUGUAACAGGCAGAUCUUGAAAACAAAGCAUAUGUCCAUCAACAGUUGAUUAAGAAGAAAGAUGAAGCCCAAGACAUGAAAAAAACCACAAGAGGGAAGAAACCUGGGUCCCUGAAUGACUACAUGGAGCAGAAACACCCACCAUUCCCCGCUGCACUAGAGUGUAAACAAAAACCCAACCUCAUUGUUUUAAUCCAGUGAGAUCAUACAGCCCCCAAUAACUGACUUAUGUCAUAUGAUCUCCAUGUCCAAAAUGGUAUUUUAUUCAGAGUCACAUUAGUGUCAAAAGUAUCAAAGAUGCCCUAAAGGAAAGUUAACACUCUCUCAGAUGCAGACUGGACCUAAAAGGUGUUCUCUAGAGUCAGCAUGAUGUUGAUUUAGUUACUUUUUUUUAAUCCAGAGAUUUUAUACAAAAUAUGGAUUUCUAGUGUUCUGUGAAAAGUUUGGCACUAUUGGGAUCAUAUGACAGGCGGUGAGUAGCCAGUGCCCUGUAAUACACUAAAUUUCCCAUUUACCUCCCCAGGGUAACCUUCACUCAAUUCAGUUUGCUUUUAUGUUCUGACUUCUGACUUUGCCACAGAGGGACAACGAAUAACAAGUAAUUUGGAGCUUUAUACUCUUGCAAUUCGAUAAUUAUUCUUGUGAUAAUCAAAAUUCUAUUCUACCUUUGAAAAGGAGUCACAUGUUUCUUAACUUUAAGACAUAGGAGCUUCAUUCAUCUUCUUUCCAUGUCUGCAUUUCUGAAUGUUGUCUCACUCAAAAGCAGAGAUGAUUUAACCAUUUGAUUUUUUUCCCUAAAAGAAAUUUUGCUGAAAUCCAAGACCAUAACUCUUCUUUCUUUUUUUCUCUUUGUGGUAAGACAGAA
Molecule: long non-coding RNA, 1325 nt
Filed under: Sus scrofa (pig)
Lineage: Eukaryota; Metazoa; Chordata; Mammalia; Artiodactyla; Suidae
Description: lncRNA (ENSSSCG00030001683.1)
Source: RNAcentral